RNAcentral lists this ribosomal RNA (497 nucleotides) under uncultured bacterium. RNAcentral describes it as "partial 16S ribosomal RNA". It matches the Rfam family "Bacterial small subunit ribosomal RNA", at positions 28 to 507 of the family's 1533-position model. The record is from RNAcentral.
GAUGAACGCUGGCGGCGUGCCUAAUACAUGCAAGUCGAGCGAACAGAUAAGGAGCUUGCUCCUUUGACGUUAGCGGCGGACGGGUGAGUAACACGUGGGUAACCUACCUAUAAGACUGGGAUAACUUCGGGAAACCGGAGCUAAUACCGGAUAAUAUUUCGAACCGCAUGGUUCGAUAGUGAAAGAUGGUUUUGCUAUCACUUAUAGAUGGACCCGCGCCGUAUUAGCUAGUUGGUAAGGUAACGGCUUACCAAGGCGACGAUACGUAGCCGAUCUGAGAGGGUGAUCGGCCACACUGGAACUGAGACACGGUCCAGACUCCUACGGGAGGCAGCAGUAGGGAAUCUUCCGCAAUGGGCGAAAGCCUGACGGAGCAACGCCGCGUGAGUGAUGAAGGUCUUCGGAUCGUAAAACUCUGUUAUUAGGGAAGAACAUACGUGUAAGUAACUGUGCACGUCUUGACGGUACCUAAUCAGAAAGCCACGGCUAACUACGUG